Molecule: transfer RNA, 72 nt
Filed under: Ardenticatenaceae bacterium
Lineage: Bacteria; Bacillati; Chloroflexota; Ardenticatenia; Ardenticatenales; Ardenticatenaceae
Description: tRNA-Arg
Rfam family: tRNA
About the family: Transfer RNA (tRNA) molecules are approximately 80 nucleotides in length. Their secondary structure includes four short double-helical elements and three loops (D, anti-codon, and T loops).
Source: RNAcentral
GCCCUCGUAGCUCAAUGGAUAGAGCAAUCGCCUCCUAAGCGAUAGAUCAUGGUUCGAGUCCGUGCGGGGGUA